AAAGGUAAGCUACUAAGAGCGAAUGGUGGAUGCCUUGACUGGUAAAGGCGAUGAAGGACGUACUAGACUGCGAUAAGCUACGGGGAGCUGUCAAGAAGCUUUGAUCCGUAGAUUUCCGAAUGGGGCAACCCAAUGUAUAGAGAUAUACAUUACCUAUAUAGGAGCGAACGAGGGGAAUUGAAACAUCUUAGUACUCUCAGGAAAAGAAAUCAAUAGAGAUUGCGUCAGUAGCGGCGAGCGAAAGCGCAAGAGGGCAAACCCAGUGCUUGCACUGGGGGUUGUAGGACUGCAAUGUGCAAGAGGUAAGUUUAGCAGAACAUUCUGGAAAGUAUAACCAUAGAGGGUGAUAGUCCCGUAUGCGAAAAACAAACCUUAGCUAGCAGUAUCCUGAGUAGGGCGGGACACGAGGAAUCCUGUCUGAAUCCGGGUCGACCACGAUCCAACCCUAAAUACUAAUACCAGAUCGAUAGUGCACAAGUACCGUGAGGGAAAGGUGAAAAGAACUGAGGUGAUCAGAGUGAAAUAGAACCUGAAACCAUUUGCUUACAAUCAUUCAGAGCCCUAUGUAGCAAUACAGGGUGAUGGACU
This 588-nucleotide ribosomal RNA is filed under the name Campylobacter jejuni. RNAcentral describes it as "partial 23S ribosomal RNA". It matches the Rfam family "Bacterial large subunit ribosomal RNA", at positions 1 to 602 of the family's 2925-position model. Lineage: Bacteria; Pseudomonadati; Campylobacterota; Epsilonproteobacteria; Campylobacterales; Campylobacteraceae. The record is from RNAcentral.